RNAcentral lists this ribosomal RNA (481 nucleotides) under uncultured bacterium. RNAcentral describes it as "partial 16S ribosomal RNA". It matches the Rfam family "Bacterial small subunit ribosomal RNA", at positions 28 to 523 of the family's 1533-position model. The record is from RNAcentral.
GACGAACGCUGGCGGCGUGCUUAACACAUGCAAGUCGAACGGUAAGGCCCUUCGGGGUACACGAGUGGCGAACGGGUGAGUAACACGUGGGCAACCUGCCUCAUAGAGGGGAAUAGCCUUCCGAAAGGAAGAUUAAUACCGCAUAAGAUUGUAGCUUCGCAUGAAGCAGCAAUUAAAGGAGCAAUCCGCUGUGAGAUGGGCCCGCGGCGCAUUAGCCAGUUGGUGAGGUAACGGAUCACCAAGGCGACGAUGAGUAGCCGAACUGAGAGGGUGUUCAUCCACUGUGGGACCGAGUCACGACGCAGACUCCUACGUGAGGCAGCAGUAGGGAAUGUUGCACAUUUGGUGCGAGCAUGAUGCAGCGACGCCGCGUGAGGGAUGACGGCCUUCCGGAUGUAAAACUCUUUCAGCACCGACGAAGCGCAAGUGGCGGUAGGUGCAGAAGAAGGACCGGCCAACUACGUGCCAGCAGCCGCAGUAA